CCCCCGAUGGUCUAGUUGGAUAUGGCGUUCGGCUGUAACGUAAAGUGUAACCGAAAGGUCGCCGGCUCGAUUCCGGCUCGGGGGA
Molecule: transfer RNA, 85 nt
Organism: Aspergillus clavatus NRRL 1
Lineage: Eukaryota; Fungi; Ascomycota; Eurotiomycetes; Eurotiales; Aspergillaceae
Rfam family: tRNA
About the family: Transfer RNA (tRNA) molecules are approximately 80 nucleotides in length. Their secondary structure includes four short double-helical elements and three loops (D, anti-codon, and T loops).
Source: Rfam